AUCAAACAUUGGACAAGAUGUUCUAUGACCUCUAAUAUUUUAUUUUAUCAACUUAAAAUAAUUCUCUGAGUCUCCAUAUCAUACGCAUUGCAUGAAUAAUGUCAUCAUGGACACCUCAAUAUCACCCAAGGAUUCAAUGAUGUCAGUAUCAUUCAAAAUGGGUACCCUCAAAAACUGUUAUUUGCCAUUAUAAUUGAGAAGUUAGCCAUUAUUUACCUACCCAAGUGCCAGUUUUUU
RNAcentral lists this long non-coding RNA (237 nucleotides) under Elaeis guineensis (African oil palm). Its description in RNAcentral is "long non-coding RNA (EGUI_LNC029255)". The record is from RNAcentral. Lineage: Eukaryota; Viridiplantae; Streptophyta; Magnoliopsida; Arecales; Arecaceae.